Molecule: long non-coding RNA, 381 nt
Organism: Alligator sinensis (Chinese alligator)
Lineage: Eukaryota; Metazoa; Chordata; Crocodylia; Alligatoridae
Exons: 3
Source: RefSeq, a predicted model, not a curated record
GUGUUGUCACAGCCAUGAUGGUCUAGAGAAUAUAAGCAAGAUGUUUUAGGCUCAUCUUCUGAUGACACGAAGAAGGGCAUUUUGUGUUUGAAAGCUUGUCUAGCAUCUCUCCCAACUGCAAAGCCUAUCCUUCUGAUGGACAGACAAGGUGUUUAAACGCAGAAAUCCUCCAACCUUUAAAAGUUCUGCUUUAAACAGUGAGCACCUAAGCUAUCUCAUGCAAGUCUGUUCAUGCAGCUACAUUAGCCAAACCUAGGACUGUGCGGAACACUUCUGGGCCCAUCCACCUCAAGCCUCGGCAACUCCCCAUGUUUCUGAACCAGCAGGUGCACUGUCUUCCACUUUUGCAAAAGCCCUGCAGUGAAUGGAAGCUUUGAAGUU